GACAGAGGGGGCAAGCGUUGUUCGGAAUUACUGGGCGUAAAGGGCUCGUAGGUGGCCAACUAAGUCAGACGUGAAAUCCCUCGGCUUAACCGGGGAACUGCGUCUGAUACUGGAUGGCUUGAGUUUGGGAGAGGGAUGCGGAAUUCCAGGUGUAGCGGUGAAAUGCGUAGAUAUCUGGAGGAACACCGGUGGCGAAGGCGGCAUCCUGGACCAACACUGACACUGAGGAGCGAAAGCCAGGGGAGCAAACGGG
RNAcentral lists this ribosomal RNA (253 nucleotides) under uncultured bacterium. Its description in RNAcentral is "partial 16S ribosomal RNA". It matches the Rfam family "Bacterial small subunit ribosomal RNA", at positions 524 to 776 of the family's 1533-position model. The record is from RNAcentral.